This 483-nucleotide ribosomal RNA is filed under the name Bithynia goniomphalos. RNAcentral describes it as "partial large subunit ribosomal RNA". It matches the Rfam family "Bacterial large subunit ribosomal RNA", at positions 1854 to 2610 of the family's 2925-position model. The record is from RNAcentral. Lineage: Eukaryota; Metazoa; Mollusca; Gastropoda; Littorinimorpha; Bithyniidae.
GGGCCUGCCCAGUGAUAUUUCAACGGCCGCGGUACUCUGACCGUGCAAAGGUAGCAUAAUCAUUUGCCCUAUAAUUAAGGGCUAGUAUGAACGGUCUAACAAGAAUGGAACUGUCUCUUUUAAAAUCCUUAGAAUUUGGUCUUUAGGUGAAGAAACCUAAAUUAUAUUGAUAGACAAGAAGACCCUAUCGAGCUUUAAAACAAUUAGUUAAACAAAUAGAUAAAACUAACUUUAGCUAAAAAUUUUGGUUGGGGCGACUAAGGAACAAACAAAGCUUCCUUAAUAAAUUCUACACUAAUAAGUAAUGAUCCAAAAUAUUUGAUUAAUAAAAUUAGUUACCGUAGGGAUAACAGCAUAAUCUUCUUCAAGAGUUCUUAUCGAAAAGAAUGUUUGUGACCUCGAUGUUGGACUAGGAUAUCCAAAAGAUGCAGAAGUCUUUAAAGGUUGGUCUGUUCGACCAAUAAAAUCCUACGUGAUCUAUCU